RNAcentral lists this ribosomal RNA (464 nucleotides) under uncultured bacterium. RNAcentral describes it as "partial 16S ribosomal RNA". It matches the Rfam family "Bacterial small subunit ribosomal RNA", at positions 339 to 795 of the family's 1533-position model. The record is from RNAcentral.
CUACGGGGCGCUGCAGUGGGGAAUAUUGCACAAUGGGCGCAAGCCUGAUGCAGCCAUGCCGCGUGUAUGAAGAAGGCCUUCGGGUUGUAAAGUACUUUCAGCGGGGAGGAAGGGAGUAAAGUUAAUACCUUUGCUCAUUGACGUUACCCGCAGAAGAAGCACCGGCUAACUCCGUGCCAGCAGCCGCGGUAAUACGGAGGGUGCAAGCGUUAAUCGAAAUUACUGGGCGUAAAGCGCACGCAGGCGGUUUGUUAAGUCAGUGGUGAAAUCCCCGGGCUCAACCUGGGAACUGCAUCUGAUACUGGCAAGCUUGAGUCUCGUAGAGGGGGGUAGAAUUCCAGGUGUAGCGGUGAAAUGCGUAGAGAUCUGGAGGAAUACCGGUGGCGAAGGCGGCCCCCUGGACGAAGACUGACGCUCAGGUGCGAAAGCGUGGGGAGCAAACAGGAUUAGAUACCCGUGUAGUC